UCUGCCUCCAGGUUGCCCCAUGGUCCUUCUCACUCUGUGGUUGAUUAGCCAGUGUGCUUUUAUGGCAAGGUUUUCAGCUGCUGUUUUGCCUUUUGGUUUGCUGUAUUAUUAUUAUCCCC
Molecule: long non-coding RNA, 119 nt
Organism: Lates calcarifer (barramundi perch)
Lineage: Eukaryota; Metazoa; Chordata; Actinopteri; Centropomidae
Exons: 3
Source: RefSeq, a predicted model, not a curated record